CCUACGGGUGGCAGCAGUGGGGAAUAUUGGACAAUGGGGGGAACCCUGAUCCAGCCAUGCCGCGUGUGUGAAGAAGGCCCUCGGGUUGUAAAGCACUUUCAGUGAGGAAGAACGCCUGGUGGUUAAUACCCAUCAGGAAAGACAUCACUCACAGAAGAAGCACCGGCUAACUCCGUGCCAGCAGCCGCGGUAAUACGGAGGGUGUGAGCGUUAAUCGGAAUUACUGGGCGUAAAGCGCGCGUAGGUGGCUUGAUAAGCCGGUUGUGAAAGCCCCGGGCUCAACCUGGGAACGGCAUCCGGAACUGUCAAGCUAGAGUGCAGGAGAGGAAGGUAGAAUUCCCGGUGUAGCGGUGAAAUGCGUAGAGAUCGGGAGGAAUACCAGUGGCGAAGGCGGCCUUCUGGACUGACACUGACACUGAGGUGCGAAAGCGUGGGUAGCAAACAGGAUUAGAUACCCGUGUAGUC
Molecule: ribosomal RNA, 465 nt
Filed under: Vreelandella stevensii
Lineage: Bacteria; Pseudomonadati; Pseudomonadota; Gammaproteobacteria; Oceanospirillales; Halomonadaceae
Description: partial 16S ribosomal RNA
Rfam family: Bacterial small subunit ribosomal RNA
Source: RNAcentral